AAGUAAAAGUCGUAACAAGGUUUCCGUAGGUGACCUGCGGAAGGAUCAUUAAAAAAUGUGGUACCAAUUAUUGGUACUAAUUAAUCAUCCUACCCUUUGUGAAUUUGUUUGUAUGAUUUUUUUAAAUGGGUCUUUCCCUAAGUUGGAUUGUUAGUAAAAUACAAAAAGACUUAGGGAAUGACUUUUUUAAAAGACUUUUUUUUAAUUAAAACUUUUUGUAUUCAUUUGUCUAAAAUUUAUUUUUAUAAUAUAAAAACAACUUUUGACAAUGGAUCUCUUGGUUCUCGCAACGAUGAAGAACGCAGCAAAAUGCGAUAAGUAGUGUGAAUUGCAGAAUACGUGAAUCAUCGAAUCUUCGAACGCAUAUUGCACUUUUUUAGUUUACUAAAAAAGUAUGUCUGUUUGAGUAUCAGUAAAAUAUUCUCACAAACAUGUAUUGUUUGUGGUAUGAGUGUUUUACAACGAUAACAAGUUGUUUCACUUUAAAUUCUUUUUGUAAUUUUUACCAAUUUACAAAUUAAAAUUGGAUAAAAUUUUCCUUUAACGAGGAAUAACCUAAACAAUUUUAAAUUUUUUGGUUUGUAAAUCAUAAAGGAAUCUAUACAACAAUAACUUGAUCUCAAAUCAGAUAAGAGUACCCGCUGAACUUAAGCAUAUCAAUAAGCGGAGGAAAAGAAACUAACAAGGAUUCCCUUAGUAACGGCGAGUGAAGCGGGAAGAGCUCAAAUUUGAAAUCUUCAAGGUUUGACCUUGACGAAUUGUAGUUUAUAGAAGUGUUUUCUGUUGGAGUUUUGGUAAAAGUUCUUUGGAAUAGGACAUCAUAGAGGGUGAGAAUCCCGUAUUUGACCAUGACUUUCCAGCUGUGUGAUACACUUUCAAAGAGUCGGAUUGUUUGGGAAUGCAGUCCAAAAUGGGUGGUAAAUUUCAUCUAAAGCUAAAUAUUGGCGAGAGACCGAUAGCGAACAAGUACCGUGAGGGAAAGUGAAAAAAACUUUGAAAAGAGAGUUAAACAGUACGUGAAAUUGUCAAAAGUGAAGCGUUUGACACCAGUGUUGUUUUCUCGAAAAUCAAUUUAAUGAGUUCUUGUUUUUAAGUUAUUGUGACUUUAUCAGCGCAUUUCUUAUUUUACUUGACUCAUUGAAUGCACUUUUCGUUAACAAGUCAACAUCAAUUUCUUUGGUGGUAAAAAGUUUAAAGGAGGUGGCUUGGACUUCGGUUCAAGUGUUUAUAGCCUUUUUUCUAUGCCAUCGGAGAGAUUGAGG
This 1262-nucleotide unclassified non-coding RNA is filed under the name uncultured Neocallimastigales. RNAcentral's name for it is "partial contains small subunit ribosomal RNA, internal transcribed spacer 1, 5.8S ribosomal RNA, internal transcribed spacer 2, and large subunit ribosomal RNA". The stretch from base 615 to 1262 matches the Rfam family "Eukaryotic large subunit ribosomal RNA", at positions 1 to 632 of the family's 3401-position model. The record is from RNAcentral. Lineage: Eukaryota; Fungi; Neocallimastigomycota; Neocallimastigomycetes; Neocallimastigales.